RNAcentral lists this small RNA (167 nucleotides) under Chrysemys picta bellii (western painted turtle). Its description in RNAcentral is "TUC338 (ENSCPBG00000026137.1)". The record is from RNAcentral. Lineage: Eukaryota; Metazoa; Chordata; Testudines; Emydidae.
UUGACAGCACUAGACAAUGAAGGUUCCUUUAUCCCCCGGAAAGCUACCGUGCAGGCAGUGCAAACUUCCCCAAACUGUCCUGCCAACGUGCUGCUUUGACCUGGAGGGGGAGCACCUUUAUGGUGACAGGAUAAUUUGAUCUCUGUGCCAUUUAAUCCUUAUUCUCA